This 1116-nucleotide small RNA is filed under the name Arabidopsis thaliana (thale cress). Its description in RNAcentral is "ATSL107900". Lineage: Eukaryota; Viridiplantae; Streptophyta; Magnoliopsida; Brassicales; Brassicaceae. The record is from RNAcentral.
AUUCUCAUAUUUAAACUCUUCUCUUGUGGGUAGGGUUGUCAAAAUGGGUCAAAAUUCAUCGGUCAACUCAACUCAAUUCAUGAACCCUAAUGAGUUGAAAAUAUUGACUCAAAUGAGUUGAUGGGUCAAAUGAGUUCUUGAAUCAAUUAGUUUGAUGAAUAAAAUGAGUUGAGUUGUAAUGGUUAAUAGUUUCAAUGGUUUAUCCAAUUAACCCAUCAAAUUUUGUAAAAUUGAAUUAAACCAACUAAAAUCUCUAAACCAAUACCAAUUUAAGUUUAACCAACACAUCUAAACUAAUUUAAUAAAAUCAAUAUUUUCCAAAUUUCUUAAAUAUACAAGCUAUGAAAUUGAAAAGAAGUAAACUCGUAAUUUUCCACCAAAAAACAUAAACCCGUAAUUUUCCCGCCAAAAAAGUAAACCCGUGAUUUUCCCGCCAAAAACGAAAAACUCGUGAUUUUCCCGCCAAAAAUGUAAACCCGUAAUUUUCCCGCCAAAAAACGUAAACCCCUAAUUUUCCCGCAAAAAAAGUAAACCCAUGAUUUUCCCGCCGAAAACGUAAACCCCUAAUUUUCCCGCUAAAAACAUAAACCCGUGAUUUUCUCGCCAAAAACGUAAAUCCGUAAUUUUCCCGCCAAAAAUGUUAACCCGUAAUUUACCGGCCAAAAAACUUAAACCCAUGAUUUUCCUGCUAAAAACGUAAACCCGUAAUUUUCCCGCCAAAAAAGUAAACCCGUGAUUUUUCCGACAAAAACGUAAAUCUGUAAUUUUUCUGCCAAAAACGUAAAUCCAUGAUUUUCCCGCCAAAAACGUAAACCCCGUAAAAAAUGGAAUCCGAAAAUAUCUUAAGUUUGAUGAUAAUAAAUUAAUAAUUAUUAAUAAUGAUAAUUAUUUAUUAUUGUUUUAUAAUAAUAAUUAAUUAAAUUAUUACGUGGGAUAAUCUAUUUAACAACUCAACUCAUCAAAUGAAAUGAGUUAUGGGUUGGGUCAACCCAUUUAAUCAUUUAACUCUAAACUGAUUUGAUAAUGAGUUGAGUUGAGUUGGGUUACCCAUUUCGACACUCCUACUUGUGGGCUUAGUGAAAUUUCGUAGAUGUAUAUGUAAGCCCGUUAAACAUU